RNAcentral lists this RNase P RNA (405 nucleotides) under Candidatus Brocadiaceae bacterium. RNAcentral describes it as "RNase P RNA component class A". It matches the Rfam family "Bacterial RNase P class A". Rfam says of the family: Ribonuclease P (RNase P) is a ubiquitous endoribonuclease, found in archaea, bacteria and eukarya as well as chloroplasts and mitochondria. Its best characterised activity is the generation of mature 5'-ends of tRNAs by cleaving the 5'-leader elements of precursor-tRNAs. Lineage: Bacteria; Pseudomonadati; Planctomycetota; Candidatus Brocadiia; Candidatus Brocadiales; Candidatus Brocadiaceae. The record is from RNAcentral.
CGGGGGCGCAGGCAGCCGCGCUGCCCGCCCCGUCUGGGCAUGCGGCAGUGGAGGAAAGUCCGAACUCCAUAGGGCAGGGCGGUGGAUAACGUCCACCGGGAGCAAUCCCAGGGAAAGUGCCACAGAAAACAUACCGCCCCGGCCGAUGGCCGGAGCAAGGGUGAAAAGGUGGGGUCGCCGCAAGGCGACUUAAUGUAAGAGCCCACCGCCUCGGCGGUGACGUCGAGGGCAGGGCAAACCCCGCCCGGAGCAAGGCCGAAUAGGGGAGGAUGAGGUCGCCCGCCUCGCCACAACUCCCGGGUUGGCCGCUUGAGCGCGCCGGCAACGGCGUGGCCAGAUGAAUGGCUGCCGCCCCCGCGUGCGAACGCGUGGGGUCACAGGAUUCGGCUUACGCGCCCCCGUACG